This 443-nucleotide ribosomal RNA is filed under the name uncultured bacterium. RNAcentral describes it as "partial 16S ribosomal RNA". It matches the Rfam family "Bacterial small subunit ribosomal RNA", at positions 338 to 795 of the family's 1533-position model. The record is from RNAcentral.
CCUACGGGUGGCAGCAGUGGGGAAUAUUGGGCAAUGGAGGAAACUCUGACCCAGCAACGCCGCGUGAAUGAUGAAGGUCUUCGGAUUGUAAAGUUCUUUUCUAAGGGAAGAAGAAAGUGACGGUACCUUAGGAAUAAGCCCCGGCUAACUACGUGCCAGCAGCCGCGGUAAUACGUAGGGGGCAAGCGUUAUCCGGAUUUACUGGGUGUAAAGGGAGCGUAGACGGCAGCGCAAGUCUGGAGUGAAAUGCCGGGGCCCAACCCCGGAACUGCUCUGGAAACUGUGAAGCUGGAGUGCAGGAGAGGUAAGCGGAAUUCCUGGUGUAGCGGUGAAAUGCGUAGAUAUCAGGAGGAACACCGGCGGCGAAGGCGGCUUACUGGACUGUAACUGACGUUGAGGCUCGAAGGCGUGGGGAGCAAACAGGAUUAGAUACCCCAGUAGUC